RNAcentral lists this long non-coding RNA (1162 nucleotides) under Sorghum bicolor (sorghum). RNAcentral's name for it is "long non-coding RNA (SBIC_LNC009016)". The record is from RNAcentral. Lineage: Eukaryota; Viridiplantae; Streptophyta; Magnoliopsida; Poales; Poaceae.
CGGUUAAUGAUUACAUAAUGUUUGCCCGCCCACUCAAAGCUCAUACAAGUGUUCGUCCUUGUUUGGAAUGGGCUUGAAGCCCUGCGGGUAUAAGUGGAACUCGCCGUCUUCCGGAAUGACAUGAUCGUUGAUAAAUCCGGCGAUCGUCUCCUGGACUCCAAGGAGUAAUGUGUACUCGAACACUUUAUCUUUCAUAUUCCACUCCUUCCAUUUGCAUUAGUUAGAAAAGAUAUUAAUAUACAUAAAAUCUAUUUAGUUUCAACAAAUAAAUAAGAUAUGAAUUUACUGUAUACACAUGCAUGUUACUUACUUUUAGAACACUUUGAGCAGGUUUAAAUAGGGUGCACCGCAUAAAUUCACAAACAUAGUAUCCAUAUAGAUUCGUUCCAAACGGCUGCGUGGGCACCCAAGGGAGUAGAACAGGAGGAGGAAGUGACACAUUCAGAUCCGUACGAUAUUUUAGUUGUAGCCAAGCCCAAGCCCUGCCCAAUAAGACGCUCGUUGAUUAGGUAUAGCUAGCAUAAUAAAGUAAAGGAGCACGCAUCGAUAUUUAAAGUAUGAUAUAUAUACUUACCUCUGGAUCAUGUCUAUUAUGUCUUGAUAGAGUGCCAGGUCUUUUUUCAUUGAGUCCCACACAUGUAUUCUUUGUUCCGUGAUCUUAAUCUCAAUGAGUAUCCAAUGAUCUCUGCAUUUGUUUAGAGUCAACUUAUAUAUGUAUAUCUUAAUGCCAGAUUAACUAAGACAUGAUAUAACACAACACUUACCCCCAUAUUGUAAGGGAAGAGUAUCUUCUCCGUAUGCCUUUGGUUAUAAAAGAACCUCCGGAGGUUCUUCUCCAUUUCCUUAGGCUUCAGAUUCAAUGGAUCUUUAGUUUUAGUGUCCUUGUACACGACAUAUGGAUCGAUGAAACCAAUUCGAUUGUCUUUUUUCAAUCUUUGUUCUCUCAUCAUGUGUCUGCACAUCGUGAGCGUAGUUAUUACGAAUACAUACAUAUGCUAAUUAAUGGGAUUAAUGAUUGAAAGGAAGAAUCACUUACAGACAGUAGCAGCUCAGGAGAGAUUUGUCAAGAGCAUUCAUAUGGAGAAGUUGGUGUACUUCACUAAAAUCUAUCCAUAUGACGUCAUCUCCACGGAAGUAGUGUCGGUCGCGGACUCGGACGGCA